UUCAUAAUAACUCAACGAAUCGCAUGGCCUUGCGCCGGCGAUGGUUCAUUCAAAUUUCUGCCCUAUCAACUUUCGAUGGUAGGAUAGUGGCCUACCAUGGUCUCAACGGGUAACGGGGAAUUAGGGUUCUAUUCCGGAGAGGGAGCCUGAGAAACGGCUACCACAUCCAAGGAAGGCAGCAGGCGCGCAAAUUACCCAAUCCCAACACGGGGAGGUAGUGACAAUAAAUACUGAUACAGGGCUCUUUUGGGUCUUGUAAUUGGAAUGAGUACAAUCUAAAUCCCUUAACGAGGAACAAUUGGAGGGCAAGUCUGGUGCCAGCAGCCGCGGUAAUUCCAGCUCCAAUAGCGUAUAUUAAAGUUGUUGCCGUUAAAAAGCUCGUAGUUGAACCUUGGGUCGGGCCGCUCUGUCCUCCUAAUCGAGCGCACGGAGUCGGUCGGACCUUUCCUUCUGGGGAGCCCGAUGCCCUUUACUGGGCGUCGCGGGGAACCAGGACUUUUACCUUGAAAAAAUUAGAGUGUUCAAAGCAGCCUUUGCUCGAAUACAUUAGCAUGGAAUAAUAGAAUAGGACAGCAGUUCUAUUUUGUUGGUUUCUAGGACCGCUGUAAUGAUUAAUAGGGAUAGUCGGGGGCGUCCGUAUUCAAUUGUCAGAGGUGAAAUUCUUGGAUUUAUUGAAGACGAACUACUGCGAAAGCAUUCGCCAAGGAUGUUUUCAUUAAUCAGUGAACGAAAGUUAGGGGAUCGAAGACGAUCAGAUACCGUCGUAGUCUUAACCAUAAACUAUGCCGACUAGGGAUCGGACGGUGGUUUUUUUAUGCCCCGUUCGGCACCUUACGA
This 837-nucleotide ribosomal RNA is filed under the name Bradymyces sp. LS-2015b. RNAcentral's name for it is "SSU rRNA". It matches the Rfam family "Eukaryotic small subunit ribosomal RNA", at positions 250 to 1093 of the family's 1831-position model. The record is from RNAcentral. Lineage: Eukaryota; Fungi; Ascomycota; Eurotiomycetes; Chaetothyriales; Trichomeriaceae.